Molecule: long non-coding RNA, 1115 nt
Filed under: Zalophus californianus (California sea lion)
Lineage: Eukaryota; Metazoa; Chordata; Mammalia; Carnivora; Otariidae
Description: lncRNA (ENSZCAG00015022045.1)
Source: RNAcentral
GUGGAUUUCGUUUGAAGAGCCCGACAAAGAUUUCGUGGCGCCACUUCUCUUUCGAUGAGUCACCUCUGCUGAGUCAUCAGUGCCCAUUUCCUCUGUGACAAGGAGACGUUAACUACUAUCAUCUGCUAAUAGGAAAACAUGGAGAGAUUUUUGUGACAUGUAUUUAUUCUCUGUUAUUUUAGGCAUCCAACCUCCCUGUUCAUGAAUUCUGUGUGUUCUGCACAUGAGCCACAUUAAACACCCCUGGAGCAUAGCUGCUCUCUCUGGCCUCUGGUUGUGUGAAUACGGAAUGCUCUCAGCCUGGGCUGCCUUUCCCGCCUUGUAGCUCUGUGUGAUUUUGCCUUCCCUUUUGCUCUUCCACUUAGGGAGUCAGGGGCGGUCUCAGAGAGACAGUGACACAUCAUCGGAGUGAAGGGCCGCAUCUGCUCUGUGUUCCCAGAGUCACCCCCAUUUCAGUGUUCAGACAAAUAAAUCUACAGUGACUGUCUAAUAUAAUUCAACACUUCUUCCUCUCCAGGAUGACUAUACUGCCCCUGAAGUUGAUGUUUGUCUUUGGAAAGAAGUGGGCAACUUUUUCGAAGAAAAUCACCUUGAGUCUUGAUGGACUUUUCGGAUUGAGGAAGGUAAGACCCCCCCCCCCCCCCCCCCCCCGCCCCCGGCUGAAUUUGGAUGGGCAAGUGUGAAUUGCUCUGGAGAUAAAGACAUAAGAAUUAGGGUUUUGGAAGCUGAAGCAGAGUGGCGAAGGUAUCCAGAGAGAGAAAGACCCAAAGACGAAGGAGACAGGCCACAAGAGAGAACGACUGAUAGGUUUUAGGGGAGAAAUGCCAAAUAUUCACUUUUGACAAUGUGUGAUUGUGUAGGAAAUAUAGAGAACAAAGUCAAACAAUAUAAGAGGACGUAUGAUAAAUCUAAAACGUUGAUUCAGGAGCCAGACUGCCUUUGUAUAAAUCUCAGGUCCGACACUUACUGGCUGCAUGAUCCUGGGCAGGCGAGUUCCCUGUGACCCCCAUGCUUCCAUUUCCCCAACUACAGACCUAGGACGAUGAUGACUCACUCCCAGGGUUGUUGAGGGGAAGAACUGAUUUUCCACCAACUACUCUCUGUGUCAAGGGUCA